This is a small nucleolar RNA of Phoenix dactylifera (date palm), 88 nucleotides long. RefSeq annotates it as small nucleolar RNA Z266. The record is from RefSeq and is a predicted model, not a curated record. Lineage: Eukaryota; Viridiplantae; Streptophyta; Magnoliopsida; Arecales; Arecaceae.
GUAUGACAGGAGUGAUGUAUCAAUUAGAUGUGUGAAGUGCACUGAUGAACUCAACUUUUGAUGCUUAUUGACAUCCUGCCAAUUAUAU